This 2053-nucleotide long non-coding RNA is filed under the name Homo sapiens (human). RNAcentral describes it as "non-protein coding lnc-DPP7-1:1". Lineage: Eukaryota; Metazoa; Chordata; Mammalia; Primates; Hominidae. The record is from RNAcentral.
UGGGAGUGGAGGUUGCAGUGAGCUGAGAUCACGCCACUGCACUCCAGCCUGAGUGACAGAAUGAGACUCUGUCUCAACAAACGAAAACAAAAAAAGGACAAAUCGUGUGUGACUGCACUCACACGAGGAACUCCACACAAUGAGGUCCAGGAAGAAAAACCUGAACAGUGUUUUUCAGGGACUGGGGAGGGACAUGAAGGGUCACUGUGUGAUGGGAGAGCUUCAGUUUUAAGAUGAAAAGGGCUCUGGAGAUGGAAGUGAUAGCUGCACAACAGCAUGAAUGUGUGUAACACCACUGACCUGUACUCCUGCAACAGCGUGAAUGUAACACCACCGACCUGCAUGCCUGCAACAGCAUGAAUGUGCAACACCACCGACCUGCACGCCUGCAACAGCAUGAAUGUGUAACACUACCGACCUGCAUGCCUGCAACAGCAUGAAUGUGUGUAACACCACUGACCUGCACGCCUGCAAGUGUGAAUGUGUGUAACACCACCGACCUGCAAGCCUGCAACAGUGUGAAUGUGUGUAACACCAACCUGCACACCUGCAACAGUGUGAAUGUAACACCACCGACCUGCACGCCUGCAACAGCAUGUGUGUAACACCACGGACCUGCACGCCUGCAACAGUGUGAAUGUGUGUAACACCACCGACCUGCACGCCUGCAAGUGUGAAUGUGUGUAACACCGACCUGCACGCCUGCAACAGCAUGAAUGUGUGUAACACCACCGACCCGCACGCCUGCAAGUGUGAAUGUGUGUAACACCAACCUGCACGCCUGCAACAGCGUGAAUGUAACACCACCGGCCUGCACGCCUGCAAUAGCGUGAAUGUGUGUACCACUGACCUGCACGCCUGCAACAGCGUUGUGUGUAACACCACCGACCUGCAUGCCUGCACCAGCGUGAAUGUAACACCACCGACCUGCACGCCUGCAACAGCAUGAAUGUAACACCACUGACCUGCACGUCUGCAACAGCGUGAAAAUGUGUAACACCACCGACCUGCACGCCUGCAACAGCAUGAAUGUACCACCGACCUGCACGCCUGCAACAGCAUGUGUGUAACACCGACCUGCACGCCUGCAACACCAUGAAUGUGUGUAACACCACCGACCUGCACGCCUGCAACAGUGUGAAUGUACCACCGACCUGCACGCCUGCAAAAGCGUGAAUGUGUGUAACACCACCGACCUGCAUGCCUGCAACAGCGUGAAUGUGUGUAACACCACUGACCUGCACGCCUGCAACAGCAUGAAUGUAACACCACCGACCUGCACGCCUGCAACAGUGUGAAUGUGUGUAACACCACCGACCUGCACGCCUGCAACAGCGUGUAACACCACCGACCUGUACUCCUGCAACAGCAGGAAUGUGUGUAACAGCACCGACCUGCACGCCUGCAACAGCGUGAAUGUAACACCACCGACCUGCACGCCUGCAACAGCAUGUAACACCACCGACCUGUACUCCUGCAACAGCAUGUGUGUAACAGCACCAACCUGCACGCCUGCAACAGCAUGAAUGUGUGUAACACCACCGACCUGUACUCCUGCAACAGCAUGUGUGUAACACCACUGACCUGUACGCCUGCAACAGCCCAAAUGUGUGUAACACCACCGACCUGCACGCCUGCAACAGUGUGAAUGUGUGUAACACCACCGACCUGCACGCCUGCAACAGCGUGAAUGUAACACCACCGACCACGCCUGGAAAUGGUUAAGGUGGUGCGUUUUGUGUGUUUUAUCACAGUAAAAAACCUGAAAACACACAUGCACAUACACACACACACACAGUACCUGCUGUGAUGAGCAAAAGGUAGCUCCAGGGGAGGCGCAUCCAGCCAGAAAGCCUGCCCCCUUACCUGAAACUUCUUAUCCCCUGUGAGACGGGAGAGCUCCCGGAACUCCAGCUGAAUGCUGGUCACCUCGGCCACAGUGCUGUCGGAGGUCCACCGUGGCGGGUGGGCAACUCCAGUACCGAUGUUCACAUCCGAGUAAGGAAUCUUGGAUGGUGUUCUGAAGGCAGGCAUUAGCCGAUUUCCAAAAUCC